CAAAUAUUUUGAAAACACGCAAAACAAGAGAGAGAAGCCAUUGAGCCGUCUCUCCAUCUCCCUUCUCUCUUCCUUCAACUCUAUUCCUCCUCUCUUCUUGAUGCCGGCUUCAGCGUGGGGAGGCGACAAAAGUGAUGCGCCGAUGCCGACGCUGACGUGGGGAGGCGACGCUGCUGUGAACGCACCGUCACGACCCAAUCUUAUAAAUUGUGGGUUGAUUUGUAGAUAAGAAGAUACGUUUAUCAUGAUGUAAUAAGGCUAGGGGAUGCUGAGAAAUUGAUGGAUUAUGGUCGUGUUCAAGUAAGUAGUGAUUAAUUGUGUGAUGAAAUGAAAAGAAUUGAAGCAAUAUUAUUCUUGUAAUGCGUUUCAUAAACUUUUUCUGCAGUCUGGUGGAAUCAUCCACAGGGAAAAAGGCAUUGGACCUCACUUUUCUGUUGUUGUGCUCGUCUUGUUGUCGUGUCUCGUUUUCUUGAUUUUGUUUGUCGGUAGCGGUUUGUUAAGCUCUUCUGCCACUGGUUAGUUGAUAUUGACUGGUUUGAUUACCACAUUAUGAUAGAUCUCAGGAAGAGUAUUUAUAUGAUAGAUUUAAGUUUUUACAUUUUAGAUUUUAGGCAUUUUUUGUAUUUGGGAUGAUUUGACCUAUUAGUGAGUCAAUAGUGAAAAAUGAUUUAAAAACAUGCAAAAUAUCUAGAUUUUGUAGAUAGCAUUGAUUAAUCACCUUCAUUUUGUUGAAGAAAUAAAGUGGUUGAAUAAUUAUAUAAUCUAAUUUUCUUAUUUCAUAUUAUAAAUGAAAUUCAACCGAAGAGGGAAUUGGGGCAAGAUGAAUGCUGAAUUCUAAAGAACUCAGUAUCAUUGAUAUUUGAUAUAGCUUGGAAGUACAGAGUUAGCUAAUAAUGCUUUGUAUUAGUUGGAAGCUUUCGUGAUCAAAUCUAAGAAAGGUGCCAAGGUCCAAAAUGUUUGUUAUUAUGUGGUACACAACCGUCUUUCCAUGAACAUUUAUGUAAUCAUGUAGAUGCCAAAUUGUAGAAGGAACUGACAGUAAUGCUCGUUUAGUAUAUAGAGUAGAGAAGUGAAGACAACUUGAGUUUUGGAGGUUGUCCAAUGUAACAUUGCUUUUACUAAUUUUUGGCAUUAGUUGGGUAGAUAUAUGUGUUUCAUUGGGAUAACGAGAUUUCAGCCUGCACAGGAUUUUGUCAUGUUCUUGCCAUUACGAGUUGCACCUUUAAUAAAUACCACAUCAAUUUGGUCCAAGAAUAGCAUUAUCAGAGCAGCCUGGCAUUUUCUUCUUUUUCUCUAAAUUUUCAAAUAGGGUCUGACUUAUGUGUCUUUGCUUUGCAAAUAUGUGGCUUUCCCUUUCACCAUCUUUUCUAUUUUUUUAAAAGAAAAAUGGGAAGGAAAGUAGAGAUAAAUGAUUUUCACUUCUUCUCUUUAGUACUUAGGCUUGAUCCACGUCGAGCUCUCUUCUUGUAAGUCCACCUUGUCUUCUGUUGUCCACCAUUUUCCUGAGUGGGUUGCACCACUUCUCUUUCUAAAGCCGUUAGUCUUUGGAGAUUGUUGACCACACCAAGCUUUUCACAGGUAAUAUUUCGUGGUCUUCACCGUCAUUAUAUGAUGUUAAUUGUAUCAUUGAUUUCUUCACUAAACAUUUUUGUUUUACAUGUUUACCAGUUUUGGAAAAUUGCAUUCUCAUAUUCUUAAAACGGGGUUCUGUAAGUGAAUGUUUGAUAUUCCAUGUUCUUGUGAUUGAUGGUUAUAAGGUAUGCGACACCAUCAUACCUAAGGUUCAAGGUUAUGGUUAGCUGAAGAACGAAGAGUUUCACUGUAAUCCUUGGUUAGGCUAGUGCAACAAUGAAAGGCAUUGGAAUUUUUGUACCUCGGUGCUCUAUGCCUUACCGAAAAGAUGAAUAAAAAUUUGUGAAAUUGAUUUCAAAUUUGCCAAGAAAUGUAGAUAGUUAUUUUGUAGUUUAAGAUGAUUAUAUUGUGAUUAUUUGAAUUGAUUAUGAUGAGUUCACUUUGAGUGUGUUUUUGGUUUUUUUUUGUUCUUUCCAUUGGGGGCUAUUAGUUGGAAAUUUGUGCAGCUUCUGGUUGGCCAGAAUUUAUCUUUUUCUCAAUGAAAUCAGAUUGUAAACGGAAAGCACAAGUAGGCAAUGUAUGUAUUGCUUCCUUCGACUGGAGUUGCAGUGGAAUUUGCAAGUCAGUAGAGAAGAUCAUAUUUGCACAAUCAUAUUAUGAAUGGAAAGUACAAGUUAUGGAGCCACAGUAUGUUUUGCACACAUUCUUUUGCAUUAGAAUAGAGGGGAUGUACCCAUAAAAAAAGGAAUAGAGGGGAUGUUAUUUUUUGAAUAUAAUACUUGAUUGUGAGUAUAAUAGCAUCAAAUGUAUUAUUUGCCUCAAAAGGACUAUAGACUUUUGAAGUAAUUUGUACGCUCGAGAUUUUAAUCAAGAUAAGUUUUAAAUUUCAC
Molecule: long non-coding RNA, 2462 nt
Filed under: Olea europaea subsp. europaea
Lineage: Eukaryota; Viridiplantae; Streptophyta; Magnoliopsida; Lamiales; Oleaceae
Source: RNAcentral